This 478-nucleotide ribosomal RNA is filed under the name uncultured bacterium. RNAcentral's name for it is "partial 16S ribosomal RNA". It matches the Rfam family "Bacterial small subunit ribosomal RNA", at positions 28 to 507 of the family's 1533-position model. The record is from RNAcentral.
GAUGAACGCUAGCGGCAGGCCUAACACAUGCAAGUCGAGGGAGAAGCCCUUUCGGGGGCCGAAACCGGCGCACGGGUGCGUAACGCGUAUGCAACCUACCUUUCACAGGGGGAUAGCCCGAAGAAAUUUGGAUUAAUACCCCAUAAUAUUAUUGGAUGGCAUCAUUUGAUAAUUAAAACUGCGGUGGUGAAAGAUGGGCAUGCGUCCUAUUAGCUAGUUGGAGUGGUAACGGCACCCCAAGGCUACGAUAGGUAGGGGUCCUGAGAGGGAGGUCCCCCACACUGGUACUGAGACAGGGACCAGACUCCUACGGGAGGCAGCAGUGAGGAAUAUUGGUCAAUGGUCGGAAGACUGAACCAGCCAUGCCGCGUGCAGGAAGAAUGCCUUAUGGGUUGUAAACUGCUUUUAGAUGGGAAGAAUAAGGCGUACGUGUACGUUGAUGACGGUACCAUAUGAAUAAGCAUCGGCUAACUCCGUG